AAGAGGGCGACUGAGUCAAACCCAGGCUGACCCCAGCCCAUUUGCAUUCCCCAAACGCCUGCCUGACCUGAGGGAUCCCAUGG
Molecule: long non-coding RNA, 83 nt
Filed under: Felis catus (domestic cat)
Lineage: Eukaryota; Metazoa; Chordata; Mammalia; Carnivora; Felidae
Description: lncRNA (ENSFCAG00000047658.1)
Source: RNAcentral